AAAUUUAUAUAUGGAUAUUAGACCCAGGGAAUGGGUGUCUGCUACAGGGAAAUGUAUAUAUGGAUAUAAGACCCAGGGAAUGGGUGUCUGCUACAGGGAAAUGUAUAUAUGGAUAUAAGACCCAGGGAAUGGGUGUCUGCUACAGGGAAAUGUAUAUAUGGAUAUAAGACCCAG
Long non-coding RNA from Bufo bufo (common toad), 174 nucleotides. RefSeq lists it as uncharacterized. NCBI's taxonomy places the organism in Eukaryota, Metazoa, Chordata, Amphibia, Anura, Bufonidae. The transcript is spliced from 3 exons. The record is from RefSeq and is a predicted model, not a curated record.